GUCGCGUCUUAAGCAUAACAUCAACAAUUAGAUUAUAGGUACACUAUACUUUAAAAUACGUUAAAAUUACUUACAUUAUUCCUAUGCCUAACGUUUGCAAGGAAUGGAAGUUUUCUUAUUUUUUUUUUUAUCUAUUACAACCAUGUCUGGAGUUUUUAUUUCUCUUUCCAUCGUAUUGGUCAAGAUAUGAGUAACGGUAUGACUAUACGAUAAUGCGUAGAUAACAAAACGUGAAUAGUCAUUAAUUUUAUACCAAUAAUUGUAAGAAACGUAUAUUAUUUUUGUACGUCUAUAAUUUAAGCAUAUUAAAUAUUGGGAAACACGUAUAAACUUGAAAAUUGUUUACGACCUAAAAAAUGAAUACAAAAUAGGUAGAAUAACAAAAACAAUAGCGGUGAGUCAAUCCACUGCAAAUAUUAGUAUAAUCCAAUAUUAUUUUUAUCAGAGUGCACUUCAUUCCACGUGCAAACUAUUCAUUCCAAAACUGAAUGCUAAGAACCAUACAAAAUGCCGAUUGGUUGCGUGAAAAUGUGUUUAUACUAUCAAUAUUUGCAUAAUAUUAUUUGUUGUCCGAUUCAAAAUCCGAGUACUAAACAUUAUAAUACAUAUUAUAAUUAUCGGUAGAAUCAGUCUAUUGAAUAUAAAGACCAAACCUGACUACUAGUAUGUUGAAGUUAUGUCUUCGGUUAUGGUCGUAUAUUUUCGGCUUAUGACACUUUUCCCACAAGGAGUUGCGAUGGAAUUUAAGGUUUCAUGCAUGUAAACUUAACAUUUACUAAUACAUCACAUGACACAUUACUAUGCGAUUAAAAUUUUAGGUUAAACCAUUAUGUAUUAAUUUGGUAUUAGAAGUAAUUGUUACUAACAAUAAUAAUAAAGUUUUUUGCGUUAAGAAAAAUGCAGCGGUUCUCACAUCUGGGAUGAAAUUUGUUUUACAUAUAGAACGGAAUUUAAAUUGUAUUGGUAGAAAACAAUACUACUUUAUGGUGGAAAAUGAACUUAAUGAUAAUGAGCUAAUUAUUUUGAUAGCAAACGGCGAGGUUAUAUUUUUAAUAUAGUAAUUUAUUUAAACUAAUUAACAACAAUGGGCACAGAGUAUAGUAGAAUACUAUAAAAUAAUAACAACAUGAUUAAAGUAGGUAUAACAAGUAGACAAGUUACACGAACAGAAUAAUAAAAUACAAAUACAACACAAAAAUUACUAACUCAGAUUUACUUAUACAAUUUUUUAACCUAUGACGUUAACAUACGGUUGAUCGGAGCAUUAAAACUAUAAUUUAAUUGUAGUAGUUAUUUUACAUUCCUAACUAUAAAUAAGCAAAAUAUAUUUUGAAUGGAAAUAACAAAAAAAUAUGAUACAAUAAAAAUGAUAAACUAAAAUUGUAUUUCUGUAAAAUAAUUUAUAAAAUAAUUAUACAGCAGAGCUAAGCAAAAAAAGAAGAGCCCGCGCGACGACCGCGUAUUGUAACAGGAAGCAGCCAAUCAAUGUCACGUUAAGUCUAUUUUGUUACAAACAAUCAAUCAUUGUAAUUAAUUUAACUGUUAAAUAGCAAAACGUUGUAUUGUUUUAUUUUGGAUGAAAAGAAAUACUUUUCAUUUAA
Molecule: long non-coding RNA, 1601 nt
Organism: Adelges cooleyi (spruce gall adelgid)
Lineage: Eukaryota; Metazoa; Arthropoda; Insecta; Hemiptera; Adelgidae
Exons: 3
Source: RefSeq, a predicted model, not a curated record